AAAAAAAAAGAACCGCAUUUCCUUUUUGACUUAAGAGGGAGAGAGAGAGGAGAAGCGGAGGCUGGGGGCUGGUGGACGCAUCGAGCUAUCUCUGGUCCCGAUUGUGAACUUGGCAGCGGCUGUUUGGCGUAAAUAACCCCAGCGGCCGCUAACCAGGAACACCUGCCGGCCCCGUUACCCGGAACGGGAGGAGAAGAUGGGCAUCUCCAGCGGAAUUCCACCGCGGCAAUAUGGAAGUGUUUAAAGGAAGACCUGUCCCGCUCAGGGUAGCAGAGAUCUGAACCUUUAAAUUGCAGCCAUUCCCGGCCUGACGAUAAGCUCCAGAACUUACUUUCUACACCAGGCUUCCAACUUUCGUCCUCAGAUUUGCACCCUGACUCUACCCCUGAUGGAUUUUUAAAUUACCCAUGAGGAAUGGGAUUUCAUCUCUGUGAUCAGGUUGCCCCUACCAGCAGGGUGGGCUGGACUCAGAGGUUUUAGGUACACCCAGCACCAAAAACCUACACUAGACACAGCUCUUGGAGGUCCUCCAAAAGAAUAACCUCGUUUCCCAUUAGAGUUUAGUUUCUCAGAUAACUGGGAGAAAGAAAAAACCCUCUGCAUUUGUCUUCCUAUGGAAGGAAGAGAGGAGAGCUGAAGAACAUAUUUUCAGAUGGAAGAGCAUCUUUCCUAUCCUUUUCUAGUGAAGAUCCAGUCUGCUUUGUGGUUAAAAGUGCAAUUUCCUCAGUAAUCCUCCCAUUUCAGACAACCCACUCCUGGCUGAAGCCAAAGCUCCAUGGUCCAUGUGAAAUCCCACCUGCAAGUCUGCAACUGCCUGUGAAGAAGUGAGUCUGCUCCUCACAAAAUGUAUUUUAGCUGCUCUCCUUAGGGAUUUUGGGCUUAUGCACUCCCUGGGUCUGGGUUGUAUCUGUGUAUCCAUCUGUCAAAUGGGAUUAAUGAGCCAAAGUCUCCCUAAAUAUUAACUCCCUACAUGUUUCAUAAAAUAGUCAGAGGCAGAAAUUUGGCUUAAUGUCCUCCUUAAAGGGAAAGCUGGAUUGCCUGUCCAUGCUGUAAAAAUCAUACACAAAUCCACAGGGCAUCAAACGAGGCUCACAGCACAAAUCCUUAAUUUUUCUCAUAAAACUACAGGUUUCAAACAUGCUGUAUAAUAAAGGGACUGAAAGACCUGCAAUAUUCAGGCUGGCCCAGGCUGUGAAGUCAGGCAGUGGUUUGGGGUUACAGGACAUGUAAACUGACAUGAGCAGUGAUUUGUGUGUACCCCAAAAGAGCACAGGUAAAGCUGUAUUUUCUUCUCUGGAAGAUGCAUUUACAGAGAUUCAUUUUUAAUAAGAGAGUCAUAAAAGAAACCUAUAAAUGAUAACGAACAGAGGCUCAGCUGUGUCAAACCCUGUGAUGCUGCUAAGGAAAUGGGAAGAGCUGCAGAGUUUCAACAUCUUUGAAAAUCUGAAUAUUCACUGAAUAUUUUGAGUCAGCUUCCUCUGCCAAAGGAAAAUGAAAUUUUCCAAAUCUGUGCCAAACUCUGACGUUCAUGAACAGCUCCUCAAGUAGGUUUGGAUGAUGUAACCAAUAAUUAUGAAUCCCUCCUCCACUUUCUAAAUUACAUCUGGUUGAGAUGAAUUUUUAUGUGGAUAACACAACCAAAAUCUGGAAGACUCUGUUUGUGCUAAACUUUAUUAGGCAGUUACAUUAUGACAUAUAAAAUUCAAGAAAAAGGAAUUCUGACCUGUGAGAUGGUGAUGCUCUGGCACAGGUUGCCCAGAGCAGCUGUGGCUGCCCCUGGAUCCCUGGCAGUGCCCAAGGCCAGGUAGGA
Corvus hawaiiensis (hawaiian crow) is the source of this 1810-nucleotide long non-coding RNA. RefSeq lists it as uncharacterized. The transcript has 5 exons. The record is from RefSeq and is a predicted model, not a curated record. NCBI's taxonomy places the organism in Eukaryota, Metazoa, Chordata, Aves, Passeriformes, Corvidae.